ACAUGCCUACAACAUAGUGUUAAUGCAUUGGAUCCAAUUAGAACUCCGUAGUUAAGCGCACUCAGGCUAGAGUAGUACUGGUAUGGGUGACUUCCUGGGAAGUCCUAGUGUUUUACAUGCC
Non-coding RNA from Picea glauca (white spruce), 121 nucleotides. Lineage: Eukaryota; Viridiplantae; Streptophyta; Pinopsida; Pinales; Pinaceae. The record is from Rfam.